Myodes glareolus (Bank vole) is the source of this 855-nucleotide long non-coding RNA. RefSeq lists it as uncharacterized. The record is from RefSeq and is a predicted model, not a curated record. NCBI's taxonomy places the organism in Eukaryota, Metazoa, Chordata, Mammalia, Rodentia, Cricetidae.
UCUGCAAGCAUGUGUCUACCCUGGAGGGAACUGAGCCCUCCAGGCCUCCGUUACCCUUCUGGUUCUCAUAACAGUGUGGUUCGCAUUACUGCGGCUGCUGCUGGCCCCUUCUCCCUGAGUGCUGACAGGUUUCAAGGAAGGGCUGGGCCAAAACUGUUUCUCUUUUCUUCUUCAAGCUCUGAACUGAGACAUUCCCUGACAUCCCGGUGACUGGGCUUCUGAGGCCAUUGGAAGCCUCUGUUAUGCAGUUGGCAGAAACGACAGAUAGUGAGUGCAUCCAGCUGCAACAGGAAGCAACAGAUUCCCAGGAGACCUGAUUUUAAAGUCCCUUCUCGGCAACCUGGGCUGCUGAGCCAGUCUCGUGGAGUCCAAUUCCAUAGCUUCGGCAUCACCAAAGAUGUAAACCUGCCACGGUCAGUUAGCCCACUGCCUUUGAGCCUGCGGCAAGCAGAUACUUCAGGGCAAGAAGCAUGUGGUGGAGCCGAGCCAAAACUGGUCCCUUCCUCCUGGCCAAGAAGCCAAGGAGAGAGAGAAUGAGGCUAAGGUCCCAGGAGCGCCACUGGCCUUACUUCCUUCGUCUAGGCCCUCCUCAAAAUUCCACUUCCCUGUAGCACCCCAGGCCUUGGGGACGUCUAACUGGGAAUGAUGGGACUGUUUGAUUCUCUCCCAUCUGCCUCACCUUGCAAACCAAACAGAGACAACUUGCAAAGGUCAGAUGCAUCGUCUGCAGAACACCCCACCGCUGCACAUCUUCAACUCCAGGCUGCUCCCUUAACAUCUGCCCUGCGAUUCUCACUCUAUCUAAAAAGGCUUAAUAGGAAUUGGCUCCAAAAAUACUUGACUGAUGUCAAGGGA